AUAUUUUUAAAUGUUAAUUCUAAUUAGUAUAGAAUUUAUUUUUAGUGUUCUCAAACACACAGACUUUACCUGUUGGUCGUUGCUAUUGCUUAAAAAAAUAGCAAACACUACAAUAAAGACCUGCUACAUAGGCAAAUUCAAAGUAUGAGUGUUUGUUUAGGAUAAGCUUGGUCAGAACAGUGUAGGAAAUAACCUGUGGUAGCUUUCCACAGUUUUCUAAAAUGUCAGGUAAUAAUGUCUUGAACCAGCUUUCUCAUAACUUGCUUUCUUCAACUCAUUCUCCUUUUAGUUAGAAGCUUUAAAAUAACAAGUACCAUCUUUGUAGGCAACAGCAUUUCCUCUGACUGCCUACACCAUAGGGUCAUGCCAUGACUACCUGAAAUUCCCCUAAAUUUCAGAAAACAGUGACUUAAUUCUUAACUCACUUGAGCUGGACUUAAUGUUACAGAUUUCCUGUGUGGCAAGAUAAUUAUUAAGUGAAACAACAAUAGGAACUAUUCAGUGGGAAAGACGAGCUGUCUCUCAUUCACAGAAAGUAAAUACUGAAGUAAGCUGGAUUUUGACGUUCUUUACAUUGCGAAGUUGAUCAAAGGAGUCUGCAUAAGGAUUUCAGAGGAUUCAUUCUAUUGCCUCUGAAAGUGAACUGUUGUAUGACUUCUUUACUCACUGUUUGAAUAGUUUAUGUGCAAGUUCACUGUUUCCCUGGAGGAUAUAUUUUAGCAAGAUGAAAUUUUAAAGUGUUUUCUAGGCUUGUUUAGAAUUAUACUGUUGAUUCCAGCUUUACAUUCUGGAACCAUCUGAAACUUGACUACUUCUUCUUUUACUUGACUACACUUUAUAUACCUCAAAACAACUGCCCUGGCUCACCUUUUUAUUUGUUAGCUAUUCUUCAUGAAGACUCUUCAAAGUGCCAUUUUGAGUUUUUUUUGCUUGAACCUUAAUUAAUGACUCAGAUAGGAGCUAAAUACAAAGCAAAAUUACCAACUCUUCAUCUUCGUUUCUUUUUACUUAUGUAUGUGUGGCCAAUAUUAAGUAAAGACAGACAAAUAUAUAAUUUUAUCUUUUCUCUUCCCUCUACUUGCAGAUUUGUUAUUUGAAAUAUAAAUGCAGGACUUUGACAAUAUGCUUAAUAGUUCUUUGCAGAAGCCUGUAGUUUAAUAGCUCUUUGAAGAAACCUGUAGUUAUUUGACUGUCGAUGUCAGAAGACAACCUUGGAACUGUUUGGGAAAGAUUGGCCUUCUUGGAGUUGGUAACCUUGUUGGAGUGUGUCGGUCUCACAUUCUCUCACCUCAUGGUUGUGUCUCAAAAUGUAAGUUCUCGGCUUCUGCUUUACACCUGCCCACCCACCUGCUGCCAUGCUCCCUACCGUAAGAGUUAUGGACUCUCAUUCUCUUAAACAUGUGUGUGUCAGAGAGAGAGAGAGAGAGAGAGACAGGGAGAGAGAACAUGUGUGUAGUAAUGAUAGGAUAACUUUCUUUCUACUGUGUGAAUCCCAGGGAUCAAACUCAGGCUGUGACAGCAUCUUUCCUGCAAGCCAUCUUGGAGGCCCACUAGCAUUUAUUCUUGUUCUGUUGCAUUUUUCUAAGUUUGCUUCAUAAUUUUAGGUCAGGGUGGUUCCCAUAUGCUGCUUUUCCCACUAAUAUAUAUCAGGUUAGUUUUUAUUCCCUUAGCCUUAUGGCUUUCACAGGUUUAAAUGGCUUCUGUCAGUUCCUUGUAUCAAGCUUAUUAGUAAAAUGUUGAGCAAAGUAAGCCUACAGUUAAAGCCCUGAGGCAACUAAUAAUGACCUGUGACUGGAGUCUGUGUUCAUGCUAAGUUUGGGUUUCUCUUUUGUUUAUUGUUUACAGUGAGAGGGUAUCAAGGGGGUCACUUUUCAGAUUUCCUGAUAGCCAGAUACUCAGUGAAGCAUUCUUUAAGAACAUAGUUCUAAUAACCCUACUUUUAAAAAUUAGACUUUGAUUUAUUUAUAUGAUAAACUUAUAGGCUCUGAAGGAUUAAGGUAUCUCAUUGUUUGUACUUGAAGAAAUCUUCCCCUUUGAAAAUGAGAACUUUAAAAUACGUUUGGUGGCUGUAACAUGGCUUUAGUGGGCUUAAAUUAUGUUUUAACAAAGUAGAGGUGGGAAGGCUAAAUUUUAAAAGGUUUUUAAUAUAAACUUCUUAUGAAGAGAAACCCUGGGUCCUCACAAAUAAUUGAGAAAAAACAGCUAGCACAGUUUUGAUGAGAGUUUUAAGAGACAGGCUACAAAUAAAACAAUAGCAAACCCUCUAAUGUUUUGGAAGGAGAAGCUAAAGGAAGGUGGCAAGUACAUAUCAACUGAAGUGAGACAGAAACUCUUAAUUUUUCUCAGAAAAUCAGCGUGGAACCUAAUGUUUUAAAGAAUUAACUUGGGUAAGACAGAAUCUGUGCUUUUACAUGGUGCCUGUCUUCUAUGACCAAAGAAGAUACAAUUUGUACUCAUUUACGUAGUCAUGCACUGCUACACGGAGCUGGUUUGUGUUUUGUUUGGGGUUUUUUUUUCUCUUGUACAAUUCCUAACCCCUUGUAAAUAGACCCUGCCAAGAAUUAAUUUUCUCCUUGUGACUCAUUUAUGUUUCAGGUUAUAUUUUUAUGACUAAUGAGAAAGCAAACAGUGCUGUGGCUAGUUCAGGCUGUCACAGAAGUGUUACACUCUAUUAACCUGCAAGACUUUCUUAUAUGACUUCUGUAUUUAGAGAGUAAGAGUACUAUUAAUUUAUUAAAAAUUACAUGUUUAAUACAUUGCCCAGAAUGAUGACCAAAACAAGAACAUACUGUAUACUUAAAGCUUGGUAGAAAUAUAGGUUUUAAAUGUUUUACUUUAUAAAAUAGGUUUAUGAAGUAAAUUUAUUAGUUGGCUUAAUUUAAUCAUUCCACAGCAUAAACAUACCAAAACAUGAUACACACACACAUACACAUAUAUGGACAUGUGUGUAUGUGUACACAUAGUCAUUCUUGUCAUUUAGAAAAAGUUAACUAGAUAUUUGCUUGUCUCAUACCAUACAUUAUAGAAUUAUAGAUAACAAAUAAUACUGACAUUGUUCAGGAAAUUAAAGUAUAAAUAUUUGUUAGGAAACAUUUUUCUGUCUUGGAUUAAUUUUUAUUUUUAAAAAAAUGUAGUCUGUGUGUCCACGAUAUGUAUAUAUGAAUAUGGGCGCCAUGGUACACCUGUGUAGGCAGAGGACAGUUUUGUGCAGUCCUUUCAUCUUUACAUGUUUUCAGGAGUGCAAACUCAGGUUGCCAGGUUUUCCUACUGAAUUGUCUUGCCAGCCUUCUACCAACCUCUGGUAAUCAUAAUUUAUAAAAUUCUUAAAUAGUAUUUGAAGUCAUAUGACAAUUUAAUUUUCAAAUGAAAUAAUUAGUUUGGUCUUAUCAAAAAUUAAAUGACUGACAGAAUAGUUUUAUUGAUUAGCUAAUAAGAUCAACAAUGGUUUGGCAUAGGUCAUUAAGUAAUACAGUUCGACCCAAAUUUUUGAUUGGUGUCAUUUGGUCUUGAAUUGAGUUAGGCAAGCACAGUUACUGAGAUCAGCACAAAUAUUUCUUUAGUGAAACCUGAAAAUGUCUCACGUUCAUUCACUCAGCACAUCUUGUGUAGUGCCUCUUACAUACUUGCUUUUGUGAUUAUAAGUCAAAGGUCCUUGCCCUUUUAUGUCUUGUAUUAUAAUUGGUAAUCAAUAACAU
Long non-coding RNA from Mus musculus (house mouse), 3695 nucleotides. RefSeq annotates it as predicted gene, 54029. The transcript has 2 exons. Lineage: Eukaryota; Metazoa; Chordata; Mammalia; Rodentia; Muridae. The record is from RefSeq and is a predicted model, not a curated record.